AUUGAACGCUGGCGGAAUGCUUUACACAUGCAAGUCGAACGGCAACACGGGGCAACCUGGUGGCGAGUGGCGAACGGGUGAGUAAUAUAUCGGAACGUGCCCAAUCGUGGGGGAUAACGUAGCGAAAGUUACGCUAAUACCGCAUACGAUCUACGGAUGAAAGCGGGGGAUCGCAAGACCUCGCGCGAAUGGAGCGGCCGAUAUCAGAUUAGGUAGUUGGUGGGGUAAAGGCUCACCAAGCCAACGAUCUGUAGCUGGUCUGAGAGGACGACCAGCCACACUGGAACUGAGACACGGUCCAGACUCCUACGGGAGGCAGCAGUGGGGAAUUUUGGACAAUGGGCGCAAGCCUGAUCCAGCCAUUCCGCGUGCAGGAUGAAGGCCUUCGGUUGUAACUAGCUUUGUACGGUAACGAAACGGUAC
This 423-nucleotide ribosomal RNA is filed under the name uncultured bacterium. Its description in RNAcentral is "bacterial SSU rRNA". It matches the Rfam family "Bacterial small subunit ribosomal RNA", at positions 30 to 456 of the family's 1533-position model. The record is from RNAcentral.